RNAcentral lists this ribosomal RNA (440 nucleotides) under uncultured bacterium. Its description in RNAcentral is "partial 16S ribosomal RNA". It matches the Rfam family "Bacterial small subunit ribosomal RNA", at positions 338 to 795 of the family's 1533-position model. The record is from RNAcentral.
CCUACGGGAGGCAGCAGUGGGGGAUAUUGCACAAUGGGGGAAACCCUGAUGCAGCGACGCCGCGUGUGGGAAGACGGUCCUCUGGAUUGUAAACCACUGUCCCCAGGGACGAAGAUGACGGUACCUGGGGAGGAAGCUCCGGCAAACUACGUGCCAGCAGCCGCGGUAAUACGUAGGGAGCGAGCGUUGUCCGGAAUGAAUGGGUGUAAGGGGAGCGGAGGCGGGGAUGCAAGUUGGGUGUCAAAACUACCGGCUCAACUGGUAGUCGCACUCAAAACUGCAGCUCUUGAGUGAAGUAGAGGCAGGCGGAAUUCCUGGUGUAGCGGUGAAAUGCGUAGAUAUUAGGAGGAACACCAGUGGCGAAGGCGGCCUGCUGGGCUUUUACUGACGCUGAGGCUCGAAAGUGUGGGGAGCAAACAGGAUUAGAUACCCUGGUAGUC